UCUUUGCUUCGCUAGCUGAAGCGCUUUAUGACUCACCCCUGCCUUUCAGAUUUUCCAGGUGGAUGUCAGAUCUUGGUCCACUUCACUCACCAAACUCCUGCAUAAACACAGCAGGGCCUGAAGUUUCCUUGAAAACUUGCCUCGCUUACAAACGGCAAGAGGCCCUCCACCUCCCCUUGUGGAAGACGGGGAGAUGGUGAGAACGGCCGCGUGGCCCGCUGCAAACGAGUCCUCCUCAAGGGUCUCCAACUGCGAGUUCUCUGGGCUAAUUACUCGAACAGCACCUUCGACGAAGAAAAGCUGACACAGAAACUGGACAGAGUCUGUGUCUCAAGUGCGCUGAGGAGAGAGCGAAGAAACUGUCUAACCCUUUGCUACAUAAAAAGCUACAUGAUGCCAUCUCAUACAAAGACUUCACUACAUGGAAUUUCAUCUGAAAAAUAUCUUUGCAUACCAAACAAAGUAGAAGCUGGUUUUGAAAGCGAAAACCAGGUGGGUAAUCACCAUUAAUACCACAUCUAGAAGUCAUCUCUGGGGACAUCCAGGAGGGUCUCCAGAAUUUCUAUACUGAUUUUAUCCAGGAAGAGGUGCAAUCGUGGAAGUGGCGAAUACUUUUUUCAUAAUGACAGUGAACAUUCUUUCGUUCUCCAAUUAAUUCUCAAAUGCUCAAGCGGAGGACCGCUUCACUGUGGAUUCUUUUGCAGUCUGCAGUGCAGAUCUCUGGGCUCUGGUGAGCCUUACGAAGCCUGCCCAGGGCUGCAGAUGGGUGAGAGAAACAGUCUUGCCCGGAAGUGAAGAGAGGACAGCAAAAUGAGCCAAGGCUUUGUGUCUGCUUAUGACAGGCGCAACAGUUAUGCAAACUAAGAACCCAACAUUUUACUAAACUGAUGCCAAAAAUCUUGUCCCACGCUAAAACAAAUGUUUGAAGCUGCAGAGAGCCGAUGCAGAAUAAAAUCAAUAUGCUAUUGUUGGAAUUCGUGCCU
Molecule: long non-coding RNA, 983 nt
Filed under: Felis catus (domestic cat)
Lineage: Eukaryota; Metazoa; Chordata; Mammalia; Carnivora; Felidae
Description: lncRNA (ENSFCAG00000051357.1)
Source: RNAcentral